RNAcentral lists this ribosomal RNA (256 nucleotides) under uncultured bacterium. Its description in RNAcentral is "partial 16S ribosomal RNA". It matches the Rfam family "Bacterial small subunit ribosomal RNA", at positions 524 to 778 of the family's 1533-position model. The record is from RNAcentral.
UACGAAGGGUGCAAGCGUUACUCGGAAUUACUGGGCGUAAAGCGCACGUAGGCGGCUUUUGUAAGUUAGAGGUGAAAGCCCAGGGCUUAACCCUGGAAUUGCCUUUAAGACUGCAUCGCUAGAAUUGUGGAGAGGUAAGUGGAAUUCCGAGUGUAGAGGUGAAAUUCGUAGAUAUUCGGAGGAACACCAGUGGCGAAGGCGGCUCACUGGUCCAUUACUGACGCUGAGGUGCGAAAGCGUGGGGAGCAAACAGGAU